UUUAGAGGAAGUAAAAGUCGUAACAAGGUUUCCGUAGGUGAACCUGCGGAAGGAUCAUUACACUCAGUAGUUUACUACUGUUAAGAAGGCUGUUAGUCUGUAUAGUUUAAUCGCUGAUGAGCAGCUAGCCUUCUUUCCACACCCUUGUCUUUUGCGUACCCAUGUUUCCUCGGCAGGCUUGCCUGUCGAUUGGACAAUCUAUAACCUUUUUAAUUUUUAUUCAGCGUCUGAAAAACUUAAUAAUUACAACUUUCAACAACGGAUCUCUUGGUUCUGGCAUCGAUGAAGAACGCAGCGAAAUGCGAUAAGUAGUGUGAAUUGCAGAAUUCAGUGAAUCAUCGAAUCUUUGAACGCACAUUGCGCCCUAUAGUAUUCUGUAGGGCAUGCAUGUUCGAGCGUCAUUUGUACCUUCAAGCUUUGCUUGGUGUUGGGUGUUUGUCCUCUCCCUAGUGUUUGGACUCGCCUUAAAACAAUUGGCAGCCAGUGUUUUGGUAUUGAAGCGCAGCACAAUUUGCGAUUCUGGCCUUAAAAUACUAGCGUCCAUAAGCAUCUUCUCACUUUUGACCUCGGAUCAUGUAGGGAUACCCGCUGAACUUAA
RNAcentral lists this ribosomal RNA (598 nucleotides) under uncultured Stagonospora. Its description in RNAcentral is "eukaryotic LSU rRNA". The stretch from base 248 to 401 matches the Rfam family "5.8S ribosomal RNA". The record is from RNAcentral. Lineage: Eukaryota; Fungi; Ascomycota; Dothideomycetes; Pleosporales; Pleosporaceae.